RNAcentral lists this ribosomal RNA (491 nucleotides) under uncultured bacterium. Its description in RNAcentral is "partial 16S ribosomal RNA". It matches the Rfam family "Bacterial small subunit ribosomal RNA", at positions 28 to 507 of the family's 1533-position model. The record is from RNAcentral.
GAUGAACGCUGGCUACAGGCUUAACACAUGCAAGUCGAGGGGAAACGCCGGGGAAGCUUGCUUCCCCGGGCGUCGACCGGCGCACGGGUGAGUAACGCGUAUCCAACCUGCCUCUGACUGAGGGAUAACCCGUCGAAAGUCGGCCUAAUACCUCAUGGCAUCGUCUGCGGGCAUCCAACGACGAUUAAAGAUUUCAUCGGUCAGGGAUGGGGAUGCGUCUGAUUAGCUUGUUGGCGGGGUAACGGCCCACCAAGGCUACGAUCAGUAGGGGUUCUGAGAGGAAGGUCCCCCACAUUUGAACUGAGGCACGGUCCAAACUCCUACGGGAGGCAGCAGUGAGGAAUAUUGGUCGAUGAGCGGGAGCCUGAACCAGCCAAGUAGCGUGCAGGAUGACUGCCCUAUGGGUUGUAAACUGCUUUUAUGCGGGGAUAAAGUGAGGGACGUGUCCUUCAUUGCAGGUACCGCAUGAAUAAGGACCGGCUAAUUCCGUG